AUUCCAACAGAAACAGUUGUUGAUAAGAGCAACAAUGAAGGCAGAAAAAAUUUCCAAAAAAAGCCUGUUAUUGGAGGAGCAUUUAGGCAGCAAAAUAGGAAUGAUACAACUGGUGACUUCAACUUGUACGAUGGAGAAAAUAUUCAAGUGCAUGAAGAAUCAGAGUCAAUGAAUUCUGAAGAGUUAAAUAGCAAUAAUGAAGCCUCGGAUGAAGAUAGUUGUAAGAGGAGAAAGCCAAGAUACGUGAGGUUUAGACCUAAACUUGAUAUGGCCGAUCCAAAAUUCUUUGCUGGGCUGUUGUUUGAUGAUAAACGGAUAUUUAAACGAGCUGUUGACUAUUAUGGAGUGAAAUGGGGU
RNAcentral lists this long non-coding RNA (357 nucleotides) under Coffea arabica (coffee). RNAcentral describes it as "long non-coding RNA (CARA_LNC003853)". Lineage: Eukaryota; Viridiplantae; Streptophyta; Magnoliopsida; Gentianales; Rubiaceae. The record is from RNAcentral.